Molecule: long non-coding RNA, 271 nt
Organism: Dufourea novaeangliae
Lineage: Eukaryota; Metazoa; Arthropoda; Insecta; Hymenoptera; Halictidae
Exons: 3
Source: RefSeq, a predicted model, not a curated record
CUGUGCGAGUGAAUGUUAAUACCGUGAGGGAAUUUAAAACGAAGAACCAUGAAUCAAGGUCUCAAGCUCAUUCUUGUACUUGUUUCUAUGGUUUUUGUGUCAGGAUAUUUCAUGACACCGGUCCGAGCAGAUCCAUCGAAAUGUGGCGUCUUCUAUAGAAGAAGGUGCCGUUUUCCUGAAAUAAGAAAAUUGUGCGGGGAUUUAUGUAAUGGGCGUUAGCAGGCAGUUCCAUCUCCAAGGAAAAGUUAACUGCAGACGUUCUAAAUAUCAU